UAUCAGCUUUAGACGGUAGGGUAUUGGCCUACCGUGGCUAUGACGGGUAACGGGGAAUUAGGGUUCGAUUCCGGAGAGGGAGCCUGAGAAACGGCUACCACAUCUAAGGAAGGCAGCAGGCGCGCAAAUUACCCAAUCCUAAUACAGGGAGGUAGUGACAAGAAAUAACAAUACAGAGCCUUACGGUUUUGUAAUUGGAAUGAGUUAAGUAUAAACCCCUUAACAAGUAUCAAUUGGAGGGCAAGUCUGGUGCCAGCAGCCGCGGUAAUUCCAGCUCCAAUAGCGUAUAUUAAAGUUGUUGCAGUUAAAAAGCUCGUAGUUAAUUUUCUGUUAAUUUUUAUAUACAAUGCUACGGUAUUUAUAUAAUAUUAACAUAAUUCAUAUUACUUUUUAGUAUAUGAAACUUUACUUUGAGAAAAUUAGAGUGCUUAAAGCAGGCUAUUGCCUUGAAUACUCCAGCAUGGAAUAAUAUUAAGGAUUUUUAUUCUUCUUAUUGGUUCUAGAAUAAAAAUAAUGAUUAAUAGGGACAGUUGGGGGCAUUUGUAUUUAACAGUCAGAGGUGAAAUUCUUA
This 571-nucleotide ribosomal RNA is filed under the name Cryptosporidium ryanae. RNAcentral describes it as "SSU rRNA". It matches the Rfam family "Eukaryotic small subunit ribosomal RNA", at positions 313 to 922 of the family's 1831-position model. The record is from RNAcentral. Lineage: Eukaryota; Apicomplexa; Conoidasida; Eucoccidiorida; Cryptosporidiidae.